UACGUGCCAGCAGCCGCGGUAAUACGGAGGGUGCGAGCGUUAAUCGGAAUAACUGGGCGUAAAGGGCACGCAGGCGGUGACUUAAGUGAGGUGUGAAAGCCCCGGGCUUAACCUGGGAAUUGCAUUUCAUACUGGGUCGCUAGAGUACUUUAGGGAGGGGUAGAAUUCCACGUGUAGCGGUGAAAUGCGUAGAGAUGUGGAGGAAUACCGAAGGCGAAGGCAGCCCCUUGGGAAUGUACUGACGCUCAUGUGCGAAAGCGUGGGGAGCAAACAGGAUUAGAUACCCUGGUAGUCCACGCUGUAAACGAUGUCGAUUUGGGGGUUGAACUAUAAGUUUGGCGCCCGUAGCUAACGUGAUAAAUCGACCGCCUGGGGAGUACGGCCGCAAGGUUAAAACUCAAAUGAAUUGACGGGGGCCCGCACAAGCGGUGGAGCAUGUGGUUUAAUUCGAUGCAACGCGAAGAACCUUACCUACUCUUGACAUCCAGAGAACAUUC
RNAcentral lists this ribosomal RNA (497 nucleotides) under uncultured bacterium. RNAcentral describes it as "bacterial SSU rRNA". It matches the Rfam family "Bacterial small subunit ribosomal RNA", at positions 502 to 1000 of the family's 1533-position model. The record is from RNAcentral.